GUGGUGCCAGUAUAGGGUUGUGCCAGUGGUGUGGUGCUGUGCUCAGGUAAAGCUUGUUCCAGUGGUGUGGUGCUGUGUUCAGGUAAAUCUCGUUCCAGUGGUGUGGUGCUGUGUUCAGGUAAAGGUCGUUCCAGUGGUGUGGUGCUGUGUUCAGGUAAAGGUCGUUCCAGUGGUGUGGUGCUGUGUUCAGGUAAAGGUCAUUCCAGUGGUGUGGUGCUGUGUUCAGGUAAAGGUCGUUCCAGUGGUGUGGUGCUGUGUUCAGGAUUUGGUUUUUAUGUUUUGAGGUUGGACUUUAGCACGUAUAGCACAUUAGCCCGCAUGUUAGUUGUCUCUCCCUAUUUUAAUUUCUAGAAAAACAUUCCUAUGUCUGAUCUUUCCUGUUUUUGUUGUGCUCAACUUUUUGAUUUGCUUCCUGUCUUUUAAGUUUGGUGUGGGUUUUUCUUUUGUUUUCCUCUUAGUGAGUACAUUUAGUGGGCGUUCAUGGUGGGUGUCUUUUAGGUCCCACUUGUUGUUGAUAUUUAACUUUCAGUGGACACCCCAAUGAGUGUCUUUCAGAAGCCAUCCUAGAACCCCACCUGUUUCAUUUUGGUUGUUGUCAGUGACUCUUUGUUAGUUCCCCCUCCAGUUUGAGCGGCAAUUUAGGUUUUCAUGCUCGGGAACGCAACCAAAUGGGGGCUCGUCCGGGAUCUAAUUUCCCAUGAGUGUGGUCGUUGCUCUAGUCACGUACUUUGAAGAUCUGCUGUUCCCAGAUAUUUGAGUGUUCAAAACACACUUUCAUGGAAGAGUUUCUUUCACUUAUAAACUUGAGGGGUUAAAAGAUUAGUGGAAUAAUUUUUUAAGUUGCAUAAACACACAGGCUUAUACAUAUCAAAGCCAUGGACUUUAAUUUGGAAGCAUUUGUGGAAAACCCAACAUGGGAGAUGGAAACUAUUAUGCUUGUCGGAUGUGGUAGGGCUUGUAAACCAUUACGGACUACAAAGGGAAUCCCAGCCGCGAGCUGCCCAGUGACGCGAGCCUACCAGACGGGCUAAAUGCCUUUUAUGCUCGCUUCGAGGCAAGCAACACUAAAGCACGCAUGAGAGCACCAGCUGUUUCGGAUGACUGUGUGAUCACGCUCUCUGCAGCCGAUGUGAGCAAGACCUUUAAACAGGUCAACAUUCACACGGAUUACCAGGACGUAUACACAGAGCAUGCGCGGACCAACUGGCAAGUGUCUUCACUGACAUUUUCAAACUUUCCCUGACAGAGUCUGAAAUACCUACAUGUUUCAAGCAGACCACCAUAGUCCCUGUGCCCAAGAAAACAAAGGUAAACGACUACUGCCCCGUAGCACUUGGUAGCAAUGAAGUGCUUUGAAAGGCUGGUCAACACCGUCAUCCCGGGAACCCUAGACCCACUCCAAUUCGCAUACCGCCACAACAGAUCCACAGAUGAUGCAAUCUAAAUCUCAUGCCACACUGCCCUUUCCCACCUGGACAAAAGGAACACAUACAUGAAAAUACUGUUCAUUCACCCACGACUGUGUGGCCAAGCACAACUCCAACACCGUCAUUAAGUUUGCUGACGACACAACAGUGGGG
This 1580-nucleotide long non-coding RNA is filed under the name Salmo salar (Atlantic salmon). RNAcentral's name for it is "lncRNA (ENSSSAG00000115750.1)". The record is from RNAcentral. Lineage: Eukaryota; Metazoa; Chordata; Actinopteri; Salmoniformes; Salmonidae.